Molecule: ribosomal RNA, 260 nt
Filed under: Actinomycetota bacterium
Lineage: Bacteria; Bacillati; Actinomycetota
Description: partial 16S ribosomal RNA
Rfam family: Bacterial small subunit ribosomal RNA
Source: RNAcentral
UUUAUGGAGAGUUUGAUCCUGGCUCAGGACGAACGCUGGCGGCGUGCUUAACACAUGCAAGUCGAACGGUGAAGGAGAGCUUGCUCUCCGGAUCAGUGGCGAACGGGUGAGUAACACGUGGACAAUCUGCCCCUGACUUCGGGAUAACUCCUCGAAAGAGGUGCUAAUACCGGAUAUGAACCUUGCAGGCAUCUGCAGGGUUGGAAAGUUUUUCGGUCAGGGAUGGGUCCGCGGCCUAUCAGCUAGUUGGUGAGGUAAUG